Molecule: long non-coding RNA, 906 nt
Filed under: Marmota monax (woodchuck)
Lineage: Eukaryota; Metazoa; Chordata; Mammalia; Rodentia; Sciuridae
Source: RNAcentral
GGGGUCUGAACUGCUGCAGUUCAAAGGCUGUCUGCUGAUUAGCACCCUGAAGAGAGCAGGGAAAAUAUCCCUCAAGGCUUUUAACCUUCUGUGUGGGGACCAUAAUCCAAAUCGUCCAUUUACAUUUUGAUGAAUAAUGUGGAGCUGCAGAACCCUUAGCUCUCUGGGGAAUGUCAGUGAUAAUGUGAAAAGGGUAAAGAGGAGUUGCUGAUUGGAGAAGUUGUUGAGCUCCUCUACUGCCACAGCCACUGCCACAGCCACAGUGAACACAGUUAUGGCCAACAUUUGUCCCAAGGCACCCACGAGCAAGUGGGAAGUAAAAGAGUGUUCAGUGAGAACAGCGAAUCCUGACUACUCUCUUCCAAAUGUGGAUGAGGAAAAAAAGCCCUGAACCUGAGAAAUUGAUGUGACUCCAUUUUUGAAAAAACUAGCCUCUACCUCAGAGCAAGGCCUGUCCAAAGGUGGGAGGGGGAUGACCCAGCGUUCCUAGGCACAUAGCCACCCUGCUGAGUUAUUUGUCUAUAAAUAACAGGAAAGACCUGCGGAGCCAGAUACCCCUAAAGGCAGUGACCAGAUAUCCUUGACUCAGCAAUGCAAGACCAAAGAAUGCUUGAGACCUAAUUCCGGACCAUAGCAACAACCAAUUAGAGUGAGGCAGGGAACAUAUCUGAAAUGCCAGGUGACCCGUCCAAUAGUUUCAGUGAUUGAUAACAUGAUUAUGUAACCCUGCAGUUUAGCAUAUACACUCUUGAAACCCCUCCCAGCCUAAACCAAUCAGUUCAAAUGUAUCCCCCUCUUGAACUAACUUGUUCCCACCAGUGAAUGUACUAAUCAAUGUUAAGAGUCCUUGUUUGAUUUUCCCAUGAAAUGAUUUGCUGUGUGAUAUUGUGACGCAUAGAGUAUCCC